This 492-nucleotide ribosomal RNA is filed under the name uncultured bacterium. Its description in RNAcentral is "partial 16S ribosomal RNA". It matches the Rfam family "Bacterial small subunit ribosomal RNA", at positions 28 to 507 of the family's 1533-position model. The record is from RNAcentral.
GAUGAACGCUAGCUACAGGCUUAACACAUGCAAGUCGAGGGGAAACGGCAUCGAAAGCUUGCUUUUGAUGGGCGUCGACCGGCGCACGGGUGAGUAACGCGUAUCCAACCUGCCCAUCACUUGGGAAUAACCUUGCGAAAGUAAGACUAAUGCCCAAUGACAUCCCACGAAGGCAUCCGAAUGGGAUUAAAGAUUUAUCGGUGAUGGAUGGGGAUGCGUCUGAUUAGCUUGUUGGCGGGGUGACGGCCCACCAAGGCAACGAUCAGUAGGGGUUCUGAGAGGAAGGUCCCCCACAUGGGAACUGAGACACGGUCCAAACUCCUACGGGAGGCAGCAGUGAGGAAUAUUGGUCAAUGGGCGAGAGCCUGAACCAGCCAAGUAGCGUGCAGGAUGACGGCCCUAUGGGUUGUAAACUGCUUUUAUAAGGGAAUAAAGUGGGUCACGUGUGACUUUUUGCAUGUACCUUAUGAAUAAGGACCGGCUAAUUCCGUG